This 253-nucleotide ribosomal RNA is filed under the name uncultured bacterium. Its description in RNAcentral is "partial 16S ribosomal RNA". It matches the Rfam family "Bacterial small subunit ribosomal RNA", at positions 524 to 776 of the family's 1533-position model. The record is from RNAcentral.
AACGUAGGAGACGAGCGUUAUCCGGAAUUACUGGGCGUAAAGCGCGUGUAGGCGGUUGAGUAAGUUCGUCGUGAAAGCUUCCGGCUAAACUGGAAGAGGUCGAUGGAUACUGCUCGGCUGGAGUGCGGGAGAGGCAGGUGGAAUUCCGGGUGUAGUGGUGAAAUGCGUAGAGAUCCGGAGGAACACCAGUGGCGAAGGCGGCCUGCUGGUCCGCAACUGACGCUGAGACGCGAAAGCGUGGGGAGCGAACAGG